Melopsittacus undulatus (budgerigar) is the source of this 2577-nucleotide long non-coding RNA. RefSeq lists it as uncharacterized. Lineage: Eukaryota; Metazoa; Chordata; Aves; Psittaciformes; Psittaculidae. The transcript has 3 exons. The record is from RefSeq and is a predicted model, not a curated record.
CUCGCUCGCACACAAAGAGAGGGAGCGGCGGACGCGCCCUGGCUGCGGUCGGCGUGAGGGAACAGAGGGGCUGGGGGCGGCGAGGGAAGCGCCUCCCGCGCUGGGAUAUACCACGGCGUAGCGACAUGCGGGUUUCGGGUGAUACCAUGUCGGGGAGGCGGCGCUGCCCGGUCACUUCUGGCGGGUCCCUCACCGGUGCUGAGGCCGGGUGAAGCGCCGCAGCUGUGACUGGCACGGCAGCAGGAGCUGAGGCAGCCCUAGCGCCGGGCUGCUGGCGGCGGGGAGCUGCGCGCUAUUUUUACAGCCCGCAGGGCAGCGCGGGUCGCGGCAGCUGCCGUGGCCGAGGCUCUGGCAGUCGGAAGUAACAACAGCGCCAAACAGGCCUUUUUCUACCCUCUUCCUUUAAAGAAUGCUGUUGUUCUUAACCCCUCCAGAACAGCCCACCCAGGAUGCUGUUCACCAGAAAUGCUCUGAUUUAAUAUCCUGACCACGUAUUCUGGCCACAGAACCACAAAUGUUAAAUGAAGGUUGGUGGAACAUCACUAAAACCUGCACUGAGCACAGCUGGCUUGCCAUCACACGUUCCUGAUGGUCUUUGAAAACUGAGAAGUGUUCCUUACAUUACAGCUCCAAGAUAUGCUGGGCAUAAAAUUAGAAGAAUCUCUUAAGUCUCCAGAAUCUCAAGCUUUUGAAUCCAAUAAUACAUUAUCCAGAUGUGUCAAGAAAUAGCAAACUUAUGACUGAAGUCUUUCCUACCAUAAGUCCUAAAGCAAGUAAAAAAAAAGAAACCUGAAUUCACCAAAUCCAAGCAAACAAGUGAUCUCUCAGAAACAAUCAUCAAGUUUUGUGCUACUCUAAGAUGACUGAAAUAAUAGUGCCUGGUGCAUAGAAGGCAUUAGCUCCAUAUGCACUAGAGAAAGACCUGCCAACUGCCUGUGCAAGAACCUGAUCUAAUUUAAAAAUUGCUAUCAGAUAUUUGCCUUCAAGUAUCACUUUAAAAAUAGCUUUAAGAACGUCAUUAGCCACUGGUGGAUUGUCACUGUUUCAGCAACUACUACUAAAGGAUUCACUUUGACAGUACAUUGAACCAAUUAGACAUACUUAAGAUGCUUAUCAGUACUCUCUGGGAGGAUAAUCAAAGUGUCUGUUCCUUUUAUUGGGAGGCUGAAGUUUCUGAUUUCAUAGGAGUUGAAACCAGACUGGCUGAUUUCUGAGGCAUCACAGCUGGAGCUAUUUCAGAUUUUGCUUCCUAGGUUUUCUGACUGCAAAGCUGCCAGCUUGUUUUGCACUUCUUAUUUUUGGAUCAGAAGGAUGAGAGGCUAUUCACAGUAACUUGUUAAUGUAGGAAGUAUCAUUGAGAGGUGACUACUAAACUGAGUACUAAACAACUACAUGUGCUUUAGAAACAAACUGUUAUCACUCCUGUAAUCAUUUGUAGUGUCAUUCUUACAGCAAAAGUCAAUGAGUAGGUACCCAUACAAGUACUGUGAAGUAACUGAAAAACCACAUUCCCUCUGAAAUUAAUGUGCUUUUGAUGAGGGCUUGAACCACAACAGGUUCACAAGGCUCACCCCACAUAUUCAGUUGGUGUAUCUUUGCCUCCUAGCCAGCACUCAGGCAGUGGUUUAUCAUCACUGUGAUAUCAUCUAUAGUACCGAGCUGGCAAAUCCACAGCUUUCCGCUGGCCCUCAGAGAGCAGGUCUCAGAUUCACAGCACAGGAAGCAAAACUGGGUGACUCUCAAGUAUGGCUAUGCUGAAUCACAGGAAAUCAAAGAGAGCUUCACUUUCAUUAUAGACUUUCUCCACACUGAGGUUUAAACCUCUAAUAGCAGAGUUACAGGCUGAGCCUGAAAAGUUGUACUUUAAUCUGGUCGAAACAACUGCAGUUUAGGUUACAGAAAAGCUGAUUACAGCAACUUAGUUUAAACAUGAGAAUAAAACCACAGAGCUGCUCACAUGGAUGUCUUAUGGGGUGAGUAGAUGAGCAGAGCAAAACAUCACAAGACAUAACAGAAAGGACAGUAGAAUCAAGAGAAUAUUUGCCUUGGGGCACAAUCUAGCUCUGAGAGAUUUAUUGUACCUAUAGCUCUAGGUGUAUGUUCACAUACUAAACACCAGAGAGUUGGAGAUCUUAGCCUUGUGGUAAAGCCUGCUGGCAAAGUAAAUUAUGCUCUGUUUGUAAUCACAUCUUUCCAAACACUGGUAUCCUAAUGAGACUUUGAAAGCAUCUGUCUACACAUUAACACCUACCAGCAAAAAGCAAGUCCUUGUAUGCUGGUAAUGUGGCCCAUUUCCAGGUCACACAUCAACCUGGUGUGCCUUUGGAAAGCCCGGUUUGGAGGCAUGGAUGUGCACUGGAUGAUUUUGGCUGUGAACCUUUCCACCAAGUUAUUCCCCAGUGCUCAGGCUCACAUUCCAAACCACUGAGCAUUUUCAAGCAGCUGCCCAUUUCUUAGUGUCAGUAAUAGUCAGAAAAUAUUUCUUGCUUCCUAGCUCCUAAGUUUCUUCCCAAAAUUACUUCUGAGAUGCAGACUAGCCAACAUUCAGCUCUGUAGUAAUAAAAGCUCAAUAACUUG